AAAGUGAUGUAAAAAGAAAUUCUCUAUACCCACAAUUAACUGAAAAUAGAGAAUGUGAAAUGCAGUCAUCUCAAAUGGUAGAAGAAAGUACGUGCCACCAAAAUCAAGGAAGAUAUUUCUGCUACGAUUCACCACUCUUUGGUGAAACUGGAGCUUGGAUUCCUGUAUCAGUUCCUCCAAUGUCAGAGAGUGAGCAUGAAGAGUGGAAUAGAGGCUUCUGCUCGAAAGGGGGAUACCUUCCUGAUGGCAACACAGAUUGGAAUCAGUGCAUGGGGGAAGACAAGGAGUUGACCAUGUGGGAUGUGGUGGUCGAUAUGUUGCUUGCAGCCCGAGGGAAAGUGCAAUCUCUUGCAUCUGGUGAUAUUGAGGGGGAUACCUUCCUGAUGGUGACACAGAUUGGAAUCAGUGUAUGGGGGAAGACAAGGAGUUGACCAUGUGGGAUGUGGUGGUCGAUAUGUUGCUUGCAGCCCGAGGGAAAGUACAAUCUCUUGCAUCUGGUGAUAUUGGUAACAUGGCGUG
RNAcentral lists this long non-coding RNA (519 nucleotides) under Nicotiana benthamiana. RNAcentral's name for it is "long non-coding RNA (NBEN_LNC036335)". Lineage: Eukaryota; Viridiplantae; Streptophyta; Magnoliopsida; Solanales; Solanaceae. The record is from RNAcentral.